RNAcentral lists this long non-coding RNA (654 nucleotides) under Rattus norvegicus (Norway rat). Its description in RNAcentral is "long non-coding RNA NONRATT002826". The record is from RNAcentral. Lineage: Eukaryota; Metazoa; Chordata; Mammalia; Rodentia; Muridae.
CCGUCGCGGGCUCGCGGGCAGUGCCCAGGCACGGACGGAUGGAGGUCCUGAUCUCCGGUUCUAGCUCUGGGACCCUCGGUCCUUUGUAAGCAAGUAAUGUGGCCAGAUCCGUGCUUGUGAGAGCGGGUAAAACACACAUGACCCGUUACCUUAUGCCGGCCUCUAGAUUAACUUGAACACAGAUUCUCUUACUGAUCAUCUCAACUUGGGGAAAUCAACUUUGUGGGAGUUCCACAGGUACCAAGACUUCCAUGCAUUUGACCUCUCAGGAGCCACUCGAGUUCUUGAAUGGGUUGGUGAAAAAGGUAAUAUACCUCGCCUGCCACUAAAAGAGGUGGGUUUCUGCCUCGGGCCGAACCUUUAGAGAGACCCAUUCAACUUCCGUGCCCUGACACAAGGCUGCUCAGAGAAUGGGGAAGGAGUCUUUGUUGCUGGUUAUGAAAGUUUGAAAAAAAAUGAGAUUCUUCAUUUGAUUCUACCUCUAAGACUCUCUGUAAAGGAAAACCAGGGCUUAUACCCAGAGAGGGACUUCAAAGUACGCCACGGAGGAUUCUCAGACAGAGCUGUCUUUGACCUAAAGCACGUGCCAGAUACCAGGUUGCUGGUGACCAGUGGGCUUCCAGGGUGUUACAUACAAGUGUGGCAAAUUAGAGA